GCAUUGAUGGUGUAGCAGGAUUAACCUGACAAUACUGUGAACUAGCUCCGGGUUCGACUCCCGGUUAAUGCA
This 72-nucleotide transfer RNA is filed under the name Laccaria bicolor S238N-H82. Its description in RNAcentral is "tRNA-Und (NNN) (tRNA-Und-NNN-13-1)". It matches the Rfam family "tRNA". From Rfam's summary of the family: Transfer RNA (tRNA) molecules are approximately 80 nucleotides in length. Their secondary structure includes four short double-helical elements and three loops (D, anti-codon, and T loops). Further hydrogen bonds mediate the characteristic L-shaped molecular structure. tRNAs have two regions of fundamental functional importance: the anti-codon, which is responsible for specific mRNA codon recognition, and the 3' end, to which the tRNAs corresponding amino acid is attached (by aminoacyl-tRNA synthetases). tRNAs cope with the degeneracy of the genetic code in two manners: having more than one tRNA (with a specific anti-codon) for a particular amino acid; and 'wobble' base-pairing, i.e. permitting non-standard base-pairing at the 3rd anti-codon position. Lineage: Eukaryota; Fungi; Basidiomycota; Agaricomycetes; Agaricales; Hydnangiaceae. The record is from RNAcentral.